This 207-nucleotide unclassified non-coding RNA is filed under the name fungal sp. RNAcentral's name for it is "partial internal transcribed spacer region". The stretch from base 1 to 46 matches the Rfam family "Eukaryotic small subunit ribosomal RNA", at positions 1786 to 1831 of the family's 1831-position model. Lineage: Eukaryota; Fungi. The record is from RNAcentral.
AAGUCGUAACAAGGUUACCGUAGGUGAACCUGCGGUAGGAUCAUUAACAAUGUAUCUUAACCAUGUAUGUGAACUGAUCGUGAAUUUGGUGGGGUGGUCGAUGUAUGUCGACUCCUGCCAAUCGUGUUAAACGCCAUGAAUAUCCAAAGAGUGUGCUUGAAUAAAACAAUUCAUAAACAACUUUUAGCAACGGAUCUCUAGGCUCUC